RNAcentral lists this long non-coding RNA (958 nucleotides) under Heterocephalus glaber (naked mole-rat). RNAcentral describes it as "lncRNA (ENSHGLG00000041154.1)". The record is from RNAcentral. Lineage: Eukaryota; Metazoa; Chordata; Mammalia; Rodentia; Bathyergidae.
CCUAUGUGUAGCAGCCUGGGUCAUCUUGGGCUCUUUGGUGCCGGUCGAUCUCCCCGCUGUCUCUGGACUGUCUGUCAGCCGUUGUGGACACCCCUCUUCUCUCAUGGACCCGUAGUAAGCCAUAGGACAAAGGCUGAGGGGUUGGCAUGGGCAUUGCCCAGGUACAGGGGCUCCUGGAAUGUUCCUCCCUGGAGACCUGAGAUCCCCCAAAAUAGCAGCAGUUCAUCAGGGGGUAGAUUUUCCCCUCCUGGGAAACAGAUGGAAUUGAAAGACUGGGAAUUCACUGUUGUCCUGAAGCAACAUCCACUGGGUCCAUGAGUUCUCUUGUUGAAGACACGACCUGUCCUAACUACUGAAUGAGACCAGCCAGAAGUAUCCAAUCAUGAGGAUCAAUCCCAGAGUGUGUGGAGGAACAGCUGUGCUCAUGGAGAUGAGUCUGUGGCAGCAGCCAGGCUUCUGUCUCUGCUCACCAUGCCCACCACUACAGUGACUUCCAAAAUCCCUGUGGGGAAUGUAGAACUAGAAGAGUUAAGUGGUCACAUCACAAGAAGACUAACUUCACAACACACUCCAAAUUCCUUUGUUUUUAACAAUAAGCAAAGUGCUCUCCACGAUUAACCGCAUUCACCUUGAAGAGCUUGGACAUUAGCUCCCAAGACUUGUCUAAGCAUUUUCUCAGUGUCUUAUGUAAGAAUCCCUACUCUACUGAUCAUAGCACAUCAUAGGCUUCAUAGCACAAAACAAAGAUAUUUAAUGCAAAUGUCCAGCAGUAAGUGGAAAUGGAGCCAAAUGUCUUUUUCUUGUUUGAGUUAUUAAUGUUUUUCUUUUAAUGUAUUCAGUAUUCUAGAAACAUGGGGCAUAAAAUGUUUUAGGCAAUUUUAUGUGAAAGUGGUGUCCAAGCCAAGAAAAUGCAAAUCAUAAUUAUGCCUAAAUGCUUUCAUUCUAACAUGUAAUCCUG